UGCAGUCGACGGCAGCACAGAGGAGCUUGCUCCUUGGGUGGCGAGUGGCGGACGGGUGAGGAAUACAUCGGAAUCUACUUUGUCGUGGGGGAUAACGUAGGGAAACUUACGCUAAUACCGCAUACGACCUACGGGUGAAAGCAGGGGACCUUCGGGCCUUGCGCGAUUGAAUGAGCCGAUGUCGGAUUAUCUAGUUGGCGGGGUAAAGGCCCACCAAGGCGACUAUCCGUAGCUGGUCUGAGAGGAUGAUCACCCACACUGGAACUGAGACACGGUCCAGACUCCUACGGGAGGCAGCAGUGGGGAAUAUUGGACAAUGGGCGCAAGCCUGAUCCACCCAUACCGCGUGGGUGAAGAAGGCCUUCGGGUUGUAAAGCCCUUUUGUUGGGAAAGAAAUCCAGCUGGCUAAUACCCGGUUGGGAUGACGGUACCCAAAGAAUAAGCACCGGCUAACUUCGUGCCAGCAGCCGCGGUAAUACGAAGGGUGCAAGCGUUACUCGGAAUUACUGGGCGUAAAGCGUGCGUAGGUGGUCGUUUAAGUCCGUUGUGAAAGCCCUGGGCUCAACCUGGGAACUGCAGUGGAUACUGGGCGACUAUAGUGUGGUAGAGGGUAGCGGAAUUCCUGGUGUAGCAGUGAAAUGCGUAGAGAUCAAGAGGAACAUCCAUGGCGAACGCAGCUACCUGGACCAACACUGACACUGAGGCACGAAAGCGUGGGGAGCAAACAAGAUUAGAUACCCUGGUAGUCCACGCCCUAAACGAUGCGAACUGGAUGUUGGGUGCAAUUUGGCACGCACUAUCGAAGCUAACGCGUUAGUUCGCCGCCUGGGGAGUACGUCGCAGACUGAAACUCAAAGGAAUUGACGGGGCCCGCACAAGCGGUGGAGUAUGUGGUUUAAUUCGAUGCAAC
Molecule: ribosomal RNA, 910 nt
Filed under: uncultured Stenotrophomonas sp.
Lineage: Bacteria; Pseudomonadati; Pseudomonadota; Gammaproteobacteria; Lysobacterales; Lysobacteraceae
Description: bacterial SSU rRNA
Rfam family: Bacterial small subunit ribosomal RNA
Source: RNAcentral